UUGAUCCUGGCUCAGAUUGAACGCUGGCGGCAGGCCUAACACAUGCAAGUCGAGCGGCAGCACAAGUGAGUUUACUCAUGAGGUGGCGAGCGGCGGACGGGUGAGUAAUGCCUAGGGAUCUGCCCAGUCGAGGGGGAUAACAGUUGGAAACGACUGCUAAUACCGCAUACGCCCUACGGGGGAAAGAGGGGGACUUUCGGGCCUCUCGCGAUUGGAUGAACCUAGGUGGGAUUAGCUAGUUGGUGAGGUAAUGGCUCACCAAGGCGACGAUCCCUAGCUGUUCUGAGAGGAUGAUCAGCCACACUGGGACUGAGACACGGCCCAGACUCCUACGGGAGGCAGCAGUGGGGAAUAUUGCACAAUGGGGGAAACCCUGAUGCAGCCAUGCCGCGUGUGUGAAGAAGGCCUUCGGGUUGUAAAGCACUUUCAGUAGGGAGGAAAGGGUAAGUCCUAAUACGCUUAUCUGUGACGUUACCUACAGAAGAAGACCGCUAACUCCAG
Molecule: ribosomal RNA, 501 nt
Filed under: Shewanella sp. AER No. 32
Lineage: Bacteria; Pseudomonadati; Pseudomonadota; Gammaproteobacteria; Alteromonadales; Shewanellaceae
Description: bacterial SSU rRNA
Rfam family: Bacterial small subunit ribosomal RNA
Source: RNAcentral